RNAcentral lists this small RNA (365 nucleotides) under Arabidopsis thaliana (thale cress). RNAcentral's name for it is "ATSL288640". Lineage: Eukaryota; Viridiplantae; Streptophyta; Magnoliopsida; Brassicales; Brassicaceae. The record is from RNAcentral.
AUUUUUGUUUCUUCAUGUAAGUCUAAAUUAUUUAAUUAGGAUAAUGUGUCAGUACUAUAAUCAUUACAAAACCAGUUUAAGAAUUUGAUAUAUCUUUUGAAAAUUUGAUAGGUACAUCAAUACUUAUAAAUGAAUCUAGUGAUGAAGAGAGAACAUAUUCUUUCAGUCCAACAACAAGUCCUUUUGAUCCACGCUCACUUAACCAAGAACUUAAAAUUGGGAGAAUUGGUUACUGUUUUGAUUGCGCAAGAGCUUGUAUGAGACGGGGUAAGUAUAUUCGUACAUGUAGUUUUGAAAGAAAACUUUGUCGUUGCAGUAUUAGUGGUAUUAAAUAAGGCAUUGUAACUUUGUUAAACAUUAAUAAA